Molecule: ribosomal RNA, 419 nt
Filed under: bacterium
Lineage: Bacteria
Description: partial 16S ribosomal RNA
Rfam family: Bacterial small subunit ribosomal RNA
Source: RNAcentral
UGGGGGAUAUUGCACAAUGGGCGAAAGCCUGAUGCAGCGACGCCGCGUGGGGGAUGAAGGCCUUCGGGUUGUAAACUUCUUUUGCUCUGAACAAGGCGCACCAUGGGGUGUGUUGAGUGUAGGGGUUGAUUAGCGCCGGCUAACUACGUGCCAGCAGCCGCGGUAAUACGUAGGGCGCGAGCGUUGUCCGGAAUUAUUGGGCGUAAAGGGCUUGUAGGUGGCUGGUUGCGUCUGUCGUGAAAGCUCAUGGCUUAACUGUGGGUUUGCGGUGGGUACGGGCGGGCUUGAGUGCAGUAGGGGAGGCUGGAAUUCCUGGUGUAGCGGUGGAAUGCGCAGGUAUCAGGAGGAAUACCGGUGGCGAAGGCGGGUCUCUGGGCUGUUACUGGCACUGAGGAGCGAAAGCAUGGGGAGCGAACAGG